AUCAAAUUGCCAGCAGCACAUAUUACCCCCAAAGAAACCGAAGACCGCGAAAUCGCCGAUCACGUAGCCGCGCCGAUCUGAUUCUGACAAUCGGCGUCAAAAGCGAUACGACUAUUCGAAUCAAUCGCGGUAAGGCUAAACUGUUACUAGAUCUCUGUCGGGGGAAAGUAUGAGCAAAGAAGAGGGGAAGAACAUGGCCUCUUCGGCCACCGGCGAACCUUUGCCGGCAAACUAUUACUACGGUACAUUUCAAGGAGUAGCAAAUCAUCCGCCUCCUCCUCCACAGUCUCACCCGGUGUUCGGUUUUCCUCAGCCCGUUCCUCCUCCUGGUGUCGCCGGCGCUCCUCCUCAAUACUAUCCUCAGGGUUAUCAAACUGUUCACGGUUAUGCUGUUGCUGAAGGUAGACCUAUGAGGGAGCACCGUCUUCCUUGCUGUGGUGUGGGGAUCGGCUGGGUCUUGUUCAUCUCUGGUUUCUUUCUUGGUACCAUACCUUGGUAUGUUGGAGCUUUUCUUCUUUUGUGUGUACGGAUCGAUUAUAGAGAGAAGGCUGGCCUUAUAGCAUGCACAUUAGGGGCCAUGCUUGCUUUAAUUGCUGUGACUUUUGGUGUGACAAAGGCAACUCAUUCCUGGUGAGGCUAUUUAGGCUGCAAUAUCUAAACUUAUCGUGGCGAUCUCCAUAGAAAAGGGGGGAAAGAGAGAAAGGAUAGAGCAACUUUUGUAAUUGGUUUUUGUUUGUGAGAUGUGUCCUUUUCUCAGUAUGUAUAUCAAAUAUUGACUUGGGUGGUUCUUAUGCUAAACAGGCACUUUCCUUUGUAAUGUUUAUGCUACUUCUUGGUUUUGCUCAAAUAGUGAUGUAUAUUUUUUGAAAAUUCCCCAAAAUAUAAGUGCAGAAAUAUAUUCAGCUCCAUUGGGG
RNAcentral lists this unclassified non-coding RNA (914 nucleotides) under Hevea brasiliensis (rubber tree). The record is from RNAcentral. Lineage: Eukaryota; Viridiplantae; Streptophyta; Magnoliopsida; Malpighiales; Euphorbiaceae.